This 282-nucleotide ribosomal RNA is filed under the name uncultured bacterium. Its description in RNAcentral is "partial 16S ribosomal RNA". It matches the Rfam family "Bacterial small subunit ribosomal RNA", at positions 335 to 635 of the family's 1533-position model. The record is from RNAcentral.
UACCUACGGGUGGCAGCAGUGGGGAAUAUUGCACAAUGGGGGAAACCCUGAUGCAGCGAUGCCGCGUGGGUGAAGAAGCACUUCGGUAUGUAAAGCUCUAUCAGCAGGGAAGAAAAUGACGGUACCUGACUAAGAAGCCCCGGCUAACUACGUGCCAGCAGCCGCGGUAAUACGUAGGGGGCAAGCGUUAUCCGGAUUUACUGGGUGUAAAGGGAGCGCAGACGGCGGCGCAAGUCUGGUGUGAAAUCCCAUGGCUUAACCAUGGAACUGCUUUGGAAACUG